RNAcentral lists this ribosomal RNA (253 nucleotides) under uncultured bacterium. RNAcentral's name for it is "partial 16S ribosomal RNA". It matches the Rfam family "Bacterial small subunit ribosomal RNA", at positions 524 to 776 of the family's 1533-position model. The record is from RNAcentral.
UACAGAGGUCUCAAGCGUUGUUCGGAUUCAUUGGGCGUAAAGGGUGCGUAGGCGGCGCGGUAAGUCGGGUGUGAAAUCUUGGAGCUUAACUCCGAAACUGCAUUCGAUACUGCCGCGCUUGAGGACUGGAGAGGAGACUGGAAUUUACGGUGUAGCGGUGAAAUGCGUAGAUAUCGGGAGGAACACCAGUGGCGAAGGCGCCUUCCUGGCCUGUAACUGACGCUGAGACGCGAAAGCGUGGGGAGCAAACCGG